UGCGUAGGCGGGUCUUUAAGUCAGGGGUGAAAUCCUGGAGCUCAACUCCAGAACUGCCUUUGAUACUGAAGAUCUUGAGUUCGGGAGAGGUGAGUGGAACUGCGAGUGCAGAGGUGAAAUUCGUAGAUAUUCGCAAGAACACCAGUGGCGAAGGCGGCUCACUGGCCCGAUACUGACGCUGAGGCACGAAAGCGUGGGGAGCAAACA
This 207-nucleotide ribosomal RNA is filed under the name uncultured bacterium. Its description in RNAcentral is "partial 16S ribosomal RNA". It matches the Rfam family "Bacterial small subunit ribosomal RNA", at positions 568 to 774 of the family's 1533-position model. The record is from RNAcentral.